GACGAACGCUGGCGGCGUGCCUAAUACAUGCCAGUAGAACGCUGAAGGAGGAGCUUGCUUCUCUGGAUGAGUUGCGAACGGGUGAGUAACGCGUAGGUAACCUGCCUGGUAGCGGGGGAUAACUAUUGGAAACGAUAGCUAAUACCGCAUAACAGUAGAUAUCGCAUGAUAUCUACUUGAAAGGUGCAAUUGCAUCACUACCAGAUGGACCUGCGUUGUAUUAGCUAGUUGGUGAGGUAACGGCUCACCAAGGCGACGAUACAUAGCCGACCUGAGAGGGUGAUCGGCCACACUGGGACUGAGACACGGCCCAGACUCCUACGGGAGGCAGCAGUAGGGAAUCUUCGGCAAUGGACGGAAGUCUGACCGAGCAACGCCGCGUGAGUGAAGAAGGUUUUCGGAUCGUAAAGCUCUGUUGUAAGAGAAGAACGAGUGUGAGAGUGGAAAGUUCACACUGUGACGGUAUCUUACCAGAAAGGGACGGCUAACUACGUG
Molecule: ribosomal RNA, 495 nt
Filed under: uncultured bacterium
Lineage: Bacteria
Description: partial 16S ribosomal RNA
Rfam family: Bacterial small subunit ribosomal RNA
Source: RNAcentral